GAGUAACACGUAAGCAACCUACCCUAAAGACGAGGAUAACCAUUGGAAACAGUGGCUAAGACUGGAUAGGAAGAUAAAAGGCAUCUUUUAUCUUUUAAAAGACCUAGUAAUAGGUAUGCUUUAGGAGGGGCUUGCGCCAUAUUAGUUAGUUGGUAGGGUAAUGGCCUACCAAGACGAUGAUGUGUAGCUGGACUGAGAGGUUGAACAGCCACAUUGGGACUGAGACACGGCCCAAACUCCUACGGGAGGCAGCAGUAGGGAAUUUUCGGCAAUGGAGGAAACUCUGACCGAGCAACGCCGCGUGAAUGACGAAGUACUUCGGUAUGUAAAGUUCUUUUAUCAAGGAAGAAAAGCAAAUGGCGAACCAUUUGUUUGCCGGUACUUGAUGAAUAAGCCCCGGCUAAUUAUGUGCCAGCAGCCGCGGUAAGACAUAAGGGGCAAGUGUUAUCCGGAAUUAUUGGGCGUAAAGGGUGCGUAGGCGGUCUAGUAAGUCAGUGGUGUAAUGGCAACGCUUAACGUUGUCCGGCUAUUGAAACUGCUAAACUUGAGUUAGAUAGAGGCGAGUGGAAUUCCAUGUGUAGCGGUAAAAUGCGUAAAUAUAUGGAGGAACACCAGAGGCGUAGGCGGCUCGCUGGGUCUUAACUGACGCUGAGGCACGAAAGCGUGGGGAGCAAACAGGAUUAGAUACCCUGGUAGUCCACGCCGUAAACGAUGAGUACUAAGUGUCGGGUUAAACCGGUACUGAAGUUAACACAUUAAGUACUCCGCCUGAGUAGUACGUACGCAAGUAUGAAACUUAAAGGAAUUGACGGGACUCCGCACAAGCGGUGGAUCAUGUUGUUUAAUUCGAAGAUACCCGAAAAACCUUACCAGGUCUUGACAUGUUUUUGCAAAAUGAUAGUAAUAUCGUGGAGGUUACCAGAAACACAGGUGGUGCAUGGUUGUCGUCAGCUCGUGUCGUGAGAUGUUAGGUUAAGUCCUAAAACGAGCGAAACCCUUAUCGUUAGUUGCCAGCACGUUAUGGUGGGGACUUUAACGAGACUGCCAAUGAUAAAUUGGAGGAAGGUGAGGAUCACGUCAAAUCAGCAUGCCCCUUAUGACCUGGGCUACAAACGUGAUACAAUGGCUGUUACAAAGGGUAGCUGAAACGCAAGUUCUUGGCCAAUCCCCAAAAACAGUCCCAGUCCGGAUUGAAGUCUGCAACUCGACUUCAUGAAGUUGGAAUCGCUAGUAAUCGCGAAUCAGCAUGUCGCGGUGAAUACGUUCUCGGGGUUUGUACACACCGCCCGUCAAACCACGAAAGUUGGCAAUACCCCAAAACGGUAGCCUAACUCGUUUUAC
This 1341-nucleotide ribosomal RNA is filed under the name 'Dendrocalamus hamiltonii' phytoplasma. RNAcentral describes it as "bacterial SSU rRNA". It matches the Rfam family "Bacterial small subunit ribosomal RNA", at positions 108 to 1445 of the family's 1533-position model. Lineage: Bacteria; Bacillati; Mycoplasmatota; Mollicutes; Acholeplasmatales; Acholeplasmataceae. The record is from RNAcentral.